AUUGAACGCUGGCGGCAGGCCUAACACAUGCAAGUCGAGCGGAUGAAGGGAGCUUGCUCCUGGAUUCAGCGGCGGACGGGUGAGUAAUGCCUAGGAAUCUGCCUGGUAGUGGGGGAUAACGUCCGGAAACGGGCGCUAAUACCGCAUACGUCCUGAGGGAGAAAGUGGGGGAUCUUCGGACCUCACGCUAUCAGAUGAGCCUAGGUCGGAUUAGCUAGUUGGUGGGGUAAAGGCCUACCAAGGCGACGAUCCGUAACUGGUCUGAGAGGAUGAUCAGUCACACUGACGAGGAGACACGGUGUGAACGCGUGGGGGGGGGGAGAGUGGGGAAUAUGGGACGGGGGGGGAAGGCCAGAUCGUGCGAGGCCUGGGGUGGGAAUGAUGUUGUAGAUUUGUAAAGCAGUUGAAGUGGGGAGGAAGGGAAGUAAGUUAAUACCUUGUUGUUUGCACGAUAACAAAAGCGUAGGACCCGUCAAACUGCGUGCCAGCAGCGGGGGUAAUAGAUGGAAGAACACUCGGCUAAC
RNAcentral lists this ribosomal RNA (524 nucleotides) under uncultured bacterium. Its description in RNAcentral is "partial 16S ribosomal RNA". It matches the Rfam family "Bacterial small subunit ribosomal RNA", at positions 36 to 538 of the family's 1533-position model. The record is from RNAcentral.